UAAAUCCAAAAAAAUAUAUAUAUAAAAUUAAUUAAAUAUAAUUAAAGAAUUAAGAUAUUUAAACAUAAAAAUAUGGAUAUGGGGGCUUAUGUGGAUGUGAAGUUUAUGUGGAGGGGCUUGAUGAUUGGAGGGAAUUUUUUUAGACAUUAUACAAGUAUUUUGGGCUCCUUGUACUUUUUAAAAUCCUUACGGUAUUUGUCUUUCAGGAAAACAUUGAACUUCUUCAAAAUGAACUGAGAAAUCCAAAGUAUCAGGUUUAUUUUAUAUAUUUUAGCAAUGUUGUUAGCAAGAGUGAUGUAAAGGUAUUAGCAGAAGCAGAUGAACAGGAGGUAGUCCGUGAAGUUCAGGAAUUCUAUGGAGAUUACAUCGCAGUAAGCCCUCAUGUCUGCACACUCAACCUUAAUGGAAUCUAUAGGGGAAUAGGCUGGAAUCCUAAGUCAUUAAACCGCGCUUGUUCCGGAUUGACAGCUAUCUUACUGUCACUCAAAAAAUGCCCCAUGAUCCGGUAUCAAAACUC
Molecule: long non-coding RNA, 517 nt
Organism: Anneissia japonica
Lineage: Eukaryota; Metazoa; Echinodermata; Crinoidea; Comatulida; Comatulidae
Exons: 4
Source: RefSeq, a predicted model, not a curated record